UCUGCCUCCCAUCAAAACCUCCACCCACCCCGCCCUCCUUCUCUUCUCCGGCAUCGUCGGCCGCGGUGCCUGGAUCCAGCGAAGCCGUGCCUCCAUUUCUCCUCAUAUCUCAACAGAUUUUCACCUCUCUCCUUCUCAUCCCUCAAUUUCUCAGUUCGUGCCCUAGAUCUUCUUCCAAAAUGUUGUCACCUCAAGGAUCUCCGCCACGAUUAGCUCCGGCAAGGCUGGCUGCCGCCGCCUCUGAAAUUGGCGAGGCAAUCGUCAUCCCCUGUUCUCACCUACUCAUUCACACGCACACGACGAAGACAAGGGUUGAGCCCUGACCUCUCGGCUCGACUGCUGCCGCUCUGUCUCACGAGAGCCUUCGCCGUCGGCGCUGGGCUCUAAAAUUGGUGAGGCCGUCGCGCUCCCCUCCCCGUGUUCGUCCGGCGGGUAGCAGUCCUGAGGUUGCCACCUUCUUAGCCAGAUAUUACUUAUGCAGGCGGGCCAGCUGGUAAAUUUUCCCAAAUUCAGUUAUCGGAUUAGGUAUCCUCUUCGAAAAAAUGCCAUCUUUGGAUGGAUCCCAUGUUUCAGAUCUGAGUGUGUGUGUGAGUGUGGGCAAUUAGUUUUACUGGGUGCUCUUUACUGUGUAAUGUAUGUAGUUCAAGUGAUGAGCUGAUUUCUGAAAGUUGGGCUGUUUAUGAACUCUUUGAUACUUUGAUAUGAAGCUAAAAGAGCUGAUAUAUAUAUCUAUAUAUGUAUGUAUGUAGGCAUAUUAUAUGUUUCUUGGUGAUUGGUCAAUGGGUGGAUUGAGAAGCUUUUGGUGGUGAAAUCCAUGCUCGUAGUUGAACUGCUUAGUCUGAAUUGGAAUUUGUUUAGAUGCAAUUUCUGCAUCUGACUUCGUUUGCUAUUAUUUGUUAUCAUAGUUUGCAUAUUUUUAUGGUGAUGUUAGGCUUGGUGAUAAUGUUAUGAUAAUGAUGUUAGGCUUGGUGUGAAGAUAUCGAAAAAGGAGAAGAAAGCUGCAAAGGACACAAACAAGCCAAAAAGUC
Molecule: long non-coding RNA, 1028 nt
Filed under: Salvia miltiorrhiza (redroot sage)
Lineage: Eukaryota; Viridiplantae; Streptophyta; Magnoliopsida; Lamiales; Lamiaceae
Description: long non-coding RNA (SMIL_LNC008833)
Source: RNAcentral